RNAcentral lists this ribosomal RNA (356 nucleotides) under Ectobiidae sp. 19 FL-2016. Its description in RNAcentral is "12S ribosomal RNA". The record is from RNAcentral. Lineage: Eukaryota; Metazoa; Arthropoda; Insecta; Blattodea; Ectobiidae.
UUUAGAUGUAAAAUAGUUAAACUUGAGUAGUAUUAGUUAAUAUCUUGAAACUUAAAGAAUUUGGCGGUAUUUUAGUCUAUUUAGAGGAAUCUGUUUUGUAAUUGAUAAUCCGCGUUGGACCUUACUUAAAUUUAAUUAAUAUGUAUACCGCCGUUAAUUUAAAUCUUAUAAGAGUUAAUAAUUUUUUAAAUAUUUAUUUUAUAAUUUUUCAGGUCAAGGUGCAGUUUAUAUUUAAGUUGAAAUGGAUUACAUUUUUUGAAAAAAUAUGGAUUAUUUGGUUGAAAUUAUUAAUAUGAAGGUGGAUUUAAUAGUAAUUUUAUGAAGAUUGUUAUUGUGAUUUAAGCUCUAAAAUAUGU